RNAcentral lists this ribosomal RNA (201 nucleotides) under Triticum aestivum (bread wheat). RNAcentral's name for it is "partial small subunit ribosomal RNA". The record is from RNAcentral. Lineage: Eukaryota; Viridiplantae; Streptophyta; Magnoliopsida; Poales; Poaceae.
AUGGCAAUUAAUAUUAAUGGCGAGGUGGGAUCAUUUUUUAGGUCCUCUAGGGGAGUGAGGCAAGGGGGUCCUAUUUCCCCUCUUCUCUUUAACCUCGUUAUCGAUGCCUUGGCGGGCAUCCUAGACAAAGCUAGGAUGGCGGGUCACCUCUCGGGGGUAGUGGGUCACUUGAUCCCUGAUGGAGGUGUCACUCAUCUAUAG